This 253-nucleotide ribosomal RNA is filed under the name uncultured bacterium. RNAcentral's name for it is "partial 16S ribosomal RNA". It matches the Rfam family "Bacterial small subunit ribosomal RNA", at positions 524 to 776 of the family's 1533-position model. The record is from RNAcentral.
UACAGAGGUCUCAAGCGUUGUUCGGAUUCAUUGGGCGUAAAGGGUGCGUAGGUGGCGCCAUAAGUCAGGUGUGAAAUCUCGGGGCUCAACCCCGAAACUGCAUUUGAUACUGUGGUGCUCGAGUACUGGAGAGGAGAUUGGAAUUUACGGUGUAGCAGUGAAAUGCGUAGAUGUCGUAAGGAAGACCAGUGGCGAAGGCGAAUCUCUGGACAGUUACUGACACUGAGGCACGAAGGCCAGGGGAGCAAACGGG